Ziziphus jujuba (common jujube) is the source of this 515-nucleotide long non-coding RNA. RefSeq lists it as uncharacterized. The record is from RefSeq and is a predicted model, not a curated record. The transcript has 3 exons. NCBI's taxonomy places the organism in Eukaryota, Viridiplantae, Streptophyta, Magnoliopsida, Rosales, Rhamnaceae.
AAAUUGGAUAGGAUUGUGUCCCAAUCCACUGUUUGGUAGAGGCAAAUAAAGAAGCAGAUAACUUAACCGCUACAGUGGAAUAAUACGCCUAGAGGAGGAUUAAGCUAACCCGUCCUUCCCCCUGGCUCAGAUUUCUGUCCAAAGCUCAUCGAAAGCUCUCGUUGGUGUCUCCUGUGUAUCUCUGGCCAGAUCAAGCUCGUGGUUAAUGAGAAAUUGCCUUUUGUUCAUAUUGAGGAAGAAGGCUGAACAACGGUAAGAAGAUUCAAUUAUGGACAAAAGGCUAGCAAUAGAGCAGGUGGAGUAAUUCUAUGGGAUUAUCAUGUCAUUUGUCUUGCUGAACCAUUUUUUGAGAAAAUGAGGCAUUAUGACCUCUCUGUUUCAGGUGUUAAGUGUACUUCGACAAUUCUUAAAUUAAGGAUAUUUUAUUCUUCUCACAAUAAGUAAUUACAGUAUGUAUAUGAUUGACAGAUUUUAUAAAAUGUCGAGAUUUUGGAUUUAUUUCUUAUAAUUGAUAU